This 1248-nucleotide ribosomal RNA is filed under the name marine metagenome. RNAcentral's name for it is "bacterial LSU rRNA". It matches the Rfam family "Bacterial large subunit ribosomal RNA", at positions 1105 to 2448 of the family's 2925-position model. The record is from RNAcentral.
CUUGGAAGCAGCCAUUCAUUUAAAGAGUGCGUAACAGCUCACUAGUCGAGCGGUCGAGCAUGGAUAAUAAUCGGGCAUAAGUAUACCACCGAAGCUAUGGAUUUACAGAUUACUGUAAGUGGUAGGGGGGCAUUCUAUGGGCGUUGAAGGCAAAUCGCGAGAUUUCCUGGAGCGCAUAGAAAAGAAAAUGUAGGCAUAAGUAACGAUAAUGCGGGCGAGAAACCCGCACACCGAAAGACUAAGGUUUCCUCAGCUAUGCUAAUCAGCUGAGGGUUAGUCGGGACCUAACGCGAACCCGAAAGGGGUAGUGGAUGGACAACAGGUUAAUAUUCCUGUACCUGCUCUCACUAAAAGUGACGGAUUGCCCAGAUAUCUACGUGGUGACGGAAGUCCACGUUGAGCAUAGCCUUCGGGCGAAGCGAUGAUAAGUAAGCAGUUCCAAGAAAAGCGAGAGAAGCAGCCCGUACCGUAAACCGACACAGGUAGUUGGGAUGAGUAUUCUAAGGUGCUCGAGAGAUUCAUGGCUAAGGAACUAGGCAAAAUCGACCCGUAACUUCGGGAGAAGGGUCGCCACGUUUCGACGUGGCCGCAGUGAAAAGAUCCAGGCGACUGUUUAUCAAAAACACAGGACUCUGCUAAAUCGAAAGAUGACGUAUAGGGUCUGACACCUGCCCGGUGCCGGAAGGUUAAGUGGAGAUGUUAGCUUUUAGCGAAGCAUUCAAAUGAAGCCCCGGUAAACGGCGGCCGUAACUAUAACGGUCCUAAGGUAGCGAAAUUCCUUGUCGGGUAAGUUCCGACCUGCACGAAUGGUGUAACGAUUUGGGCACUGUCUCAACCAUGAGCUCGGUGAAAUUGUAGUAUCGGUGAAGAUGCCGAUUACCCGCAACGGGACGAAAAGACCCCGUGAACCUUUACUAUAGCUUAGUAUUGGCUUUGGAUAAGUAAUGUGUAGGAUAGGUGGGAGACUUUGAAGUGGCGUCGCUAGGCGUUGUGGAGUCAUUGUUGAAAUACCACCCUUUGCUUAUCUAGAGUCUAACUUUCACUGAAAGGACAGUGCUUGGUGGGUAGUUUGACUGGGGUGGUCGCCUCCAAAAGAGUAACGGAGGCUUCUAAAGGUUCCCUCAGCACGCUUGGUAACCGUGCGUAGAGUGCAAUGGCAUAAGGGAGCUUGACUGAGAGACAGACAAGUCGAUCAGGUACGAAAGUAGAGCAUAGUGAUCCGGUGGUUCCGCAUGGAAGGGCCAUCGC